RNAcentral lists this non-coding RNA (96 nucleotides) under Schistosoma japonicum. The record is from RNAcentral. Lineage: Eukaryota; Metazoa; Platyhelminthes; Trematoda; Strigeidida; Schistosomatidae.
AUGGAUCAACACCUACCGGGAGGUCUGUAGAUGCUGCUUCAGUGUCUUGUGGGUUCGGUGGAGCUGGUCUAUUCAAGAGUUCCUUAAAGUGUUCUA